RNAcentral lists this transfer RNA (76 nucleotides) under Ornatilinea apprima. Its description in RNAcentral is "tRNA-Phe". It matches the Rfam family "tRNA". Rfam says of the family: Transfer RNA (tRNA) molecules are approximately 80 nucleotides in length. Their secondary structure includes four short double-helical elements and three loops (D, anti-codon, and T loops). Lineage: Bacteria; Bacillati; Chloroflexota; Anaerolineae; Anaerolineales; Anaerolineaceae. The record is from RNAcentral.
GCCGAGAUAGCUCAGUUGGUAGAGCACGCGACUGAAAAUUGCGGUGUCGACAGUUCGAUCCUGUCUCUCGGCACAA